AAUCGUGUUGUGUUAUACCUUGAAUACCUUAAAAUAUACCAAAGCUUUUGGAAGAACCCGUCUCCAGCUGCCAAGUUUUUGUUUUUCUGAUGAACAGAUUCAAGGUCGUGAAACAAAAGACUCCAAACCAGACCACCAUUGACAGAUUACCUGUUGGGAGUCUCGUGACCACCACUUUCAUCCCAUCUUACUUCACCUCAGUACCAUCCUCCGUGGUAAUCACCACAUUCUCCACACUUUUGACUGUCUUCAUCAUUCACAUUCAAGGUCGUGAAACGGAAGACUCCAAACCAGACCACCAUUGACAGAUUACCUGUUGGGAGUCUCGUGACCACCACUUUCAUCCCAUCUUACUUCACCUCAGUACCAUCCUCCGUGGUAAUCACCACAUUCUCCACACUUUUGACUGUCUCCAUCAUUCACAUACUGUACAUAUCAACAGUUGAUUGACGGUUGGAAGUUCCCAUCACACUUGUCAUCAAACCAGACAGCUUUCAACCAGAAUCUUCCAGGUGUAAAAAAAAAAAAGUCCUGGAUUUUCAACGGUAUAUGUUUUGCGUUCUUUGUAUAAAAGACUUCUAUACACUCCUUCCAUUUUCAGACGUCUUGUUGGACUGAAAUAUUUUUCACCUCCACUCAUUUCACCACCCCUCUAAGAAGACAUUUCCCAUAAGCAAAAAAAUCAUUACAUGUUCAUUUUUCAUAAGAAUUUAUCACAGCUGUGAGCUCAUUUCAUCCAUUUCACCUCAUUUUUUCAUGAACGAUUCAUCCCAAUAACGCUUGAAAUAA
RNAcentral lists this long non-coding RNA (789 nucleotides) under Strongylocentrotus purpuratus (purple sea urchin). RNAcentral describes it as "uncharacterized LOC105443394, transcript variant X2". Lineage: Eukaryota; Metazoa; Echinodermata; Echinoidea; Camarodonta; Strongylocentrotidae. The record is from RNAcentral.